This 254-nucleotide ribosomal RNA is filed under the name uncultured bacterium. RNAcentral's name for it is "partial 16S ribosomal RNA". It matches the Rfam family "Bacterial small subunit ribosomal RNA", at positions 524 to 776 of the family's 1533-position model. The record is from RNAcentral.
UACGUAGGGGGCAAGCGUUGUCCGGAUUCACUGGGCGUAAAGAGCUCGUAGGUGGUUUGGUAAGUCGGGUGUGAAACCUCCAGGCUCAACCUGGAGUCGCCACUCGAUACUGCCAUGGCUAGAGUUCGGUAGGGGAGCAUGGAAUUCCUGGUGUAGCGGUGAAAUGCGCAGAUAUCAGGAGGAACACCAGUAGCGAAGGCGGUGCUCUGGGCCGGUACUGACACUGAGGAGCGAAAGCGUGGGGAGCGAACAGG